Molecule: long non-coding RNA, 624 nt
Filed under: Mytilus galloprovincialis (Mediterranean mussel)
Lineage: Eukaryota; Metazoa; Mollusca; Bivalvia; Mytilida; Mytilidae
Source: RNAcentral
CAAAACUAUGCUAUCGUAUGAUGUUUAAAAUGAAUGAACAUGGACGUUUAAAUUGGUGUUCUAAAGUGCAAAGACUAUUAUUUUCAAAUGGAUUUGGUGUUGUAUGGGAAAGUCAAAGUGUUGGAGAUGCAAAAUUGUUUUUACAUUUAUUUAAACAGAGACUUACAGAUAUAAACUUACAAUCUUGGUCAGAUUAUAUUGGCAACUCAUCAAAGUGUGCUUUUUAUUCAAAAGUUAAGGAUUAUAUUUGUAUAAAUGAAAAUAUACAGAAACUGUCAUAUAAUCUUAGAUAUGAAAUUUUUUCAAUUUUAUGUUCAAACCAUAAGCUAGCUAUUGAACAAGGUAGACAUGAAAACCAACCAAGGGAAAAUAGGUUGUGUAAAAUUUGUAAUACAAAUGAAAUAGAAGAUGAAUUCCAUUUUGUACUAGUUUGUCCAAUUUUGGCUGAUAUAAGGAGAAAUUUUUUACCAUUAUGGUGUCAAAGUAAUUGUAACAGAGACACUUUAACUAGUCUUUUUAGAACAGAAAAUUUAAUUACUUUGAAAAAUCUGGCUGUAUUUUUGAAAAAAGCUAAAUGCUGUAGAGAAGAAGUCUUGUCACUAUGACUUGAUCAAAUGAAUAUAU